AGUGAACGCUGGCGGUAGGCCUAACACAUGCAAGUCGAACGGCAGCACAGUAAGAGCUUGCUCUUACGGGUGGCGAGUGGCGGACGGGUGAGGAAUACAUCGGAAUCUACUUUGUCGUGGGGGAUAACGUAGGGAAACUUACGCUAAUACCGCAUACGACCUACGGGUGAAAGCAGGGGAUCUUCGGACCUUGCGCGAUUGAAUGAGCCGAUGUCGGAUUAGCUAGUUGGCGGGGUAAAGGCCCACCAAGGCGACGAUCCGUAGCUGGUCUGAGAGGAUGAUCAGCCACACUGGAACUGAGACACGGUCCAGACUCCUACGGGAGGCAGCAGUGGGGAAUAUUGGACAAAGGGCGCAAGCCUGAUCCAGCCAUACCGCGUGGGUGAAGAAGGCCUUCGGGUUGUAAAGCCCUUUUGUUGGGAAAGAAAAGCAGCAGGUUAAUACCCCGCUGUUCUGACGGUACCCAAAGAAUAAGCACCGGCUAACUUCGUG
This 492-nucleotide ribosomal RNA is filed under the name uncultured bacterium. RNAcentral describes it as "partial 16S ribosomal RNA". It matches the Rfam family "Bacterial small subunit ribosomal RNA", at positions 29 to 507 of the family's 1533-position model. The record is from RNAcentral.